This 497-nucleotide ribosomal RNA is filed under the name uncultured bacterium. RNAcentral's name for it is "partial 16S ribosomal RNA". It matches the Rfam family "Bacterial small subunit ribosomal RNA", at positions 28 to 507 of the family's 1533-position model. The record is from RNAcentral.
GAUGAACGCUGGCGGCGUGCCUAAUACAUGCAAGUCGAGCGAACAGACGAGGAGCUUGCUCCUCUGACGUUAGCGGCGGACGGGUGAGUAACACGUGGAUAACCUACCUAUAAGACUGGGAUAACUUCGGGAAACCGGAGCUAAUACCGGAUAAUAUAUUGAACCGCAUGGUUCAAUAGUGAAAGACGGUUUUGCUGUCACUUAUAGAUGGAUCCGCGCCGCAUUAGCUAGUUGGUAAGGUAACGGCUUACCAAGGCAACGAUGCGUAGCCGACCUGAGAGGGUGAUCAGCCACACUGGAACUGAGACACGGUCCAGACUCCUACGGGAGGCAGCAGUAGGGAAUCUUCCGCAAUGGGCGAAAGCCUGACGGAGCAACGCCGCGUGAGUGAUGAAGGUCUUCGGAUCGUAAAGCUCUGUUAUUAGGGAAGAACAAAUGUGUAAGUAACUAUGCACGUCUUGACGGUACCUAAACAGAAAGCCACGGCUAACUACGUG